This 63-nucleotide transfer RNA is filed under the name Cyrtodactylus chanhomeae. RNAcentral describes it as "tRNA Cys". Lineage: Eukaryota; Metazoa; Chordata; Lepidosauria; Squamata; Gekkonidae. The record is from RNAcentral.
AGCCCACGCAGUGAUGCACGCCAAAAUGCAAAUUUGGAGACGCACAAGAAGGUGCCGGGGCUU